This is a non-coding RNA of Xyrichtys novacula (pearly razorfish), 2945 nucleotides long. The record is from the annotation of a GenBank genome assembly. NCBI's taxonomy places the organism in Eukaryota, Metazoa, Chordata, Actinopteri, Labriformes, Labridae.
UUUUGGUUGAGGUUUGUGAGUGGCUCCUCAGAACGAUGUGUUUUGCUAUCUGCAGUUGUUACUAAAGUUGGUAAAACUAGAGAAGCAACUCUGUGUUAUGGUGUGUUUGACACUAAAUUAAUUUUACGCCGGAAUAUCCCUUUAAGGUCACAGCAGAGAUGUCAGUGCCGACCAGCUCAGCCAGAACUGCGCAGACUCUCGGUCCAUGAACAUCAUCAGCACCUUUACACUCGUUUAACAAGUAAAACAUCCACCAAGUCAAAUUUGAGCGAAGAUCCAGCAUGGAUGUGUAUGCGAUACCCCAUUUGUCCCGUACUUCCUCGUUUACAUUUUACUUCCCAGAAAAAAAAAAGUGGAUCUUCUUUGAGCUUUUUACUUGUGUAAAUCAGCUGAGAAUUAAAGGGCUGAGAACAAGCUUUGCAUUUAGAUUCUCUAACAGAGGAGCCCAAUUAAAGUCACUGGUGUUGUCCAAGGCUGCAGGGCACAGACAGACUGACACCCUCUGUAGAAAACAGCCCACUCAGGUGGGAACCAACCAACAGCCUGAAAAGUGACUCCUCAUACAAAUCAGCCCUCUGUGAUGUUUAAUGCUCUCGCAGAGGUCAUUAGAGCUGUGAUUUGUAUUUGCUGUUUUCUCCCCACCUCAGCCUGCAUCUCUCAUUUUAACCUCUACUAAUGUUUUUACCACUCUGCAAUUAUUCUCUAAACAUUCCUGCAGACUUUUCCCCCAGACUAGCCGCAGUCACUCUUACAGUUUGUGUACUUAUGCAGACUGAUGACAACCAGGGGAAAUGUUCCUGCAGAAUCAAUAACAAGAAAACAAGAUUUUCUUCUUUGCAACAACUAAAACUCAAGGAUACUUUUGUAUAGCACAUCCCUGCUUGUAGGGUACACAGUUUGGUAAGACUGCAGCCCACACGUUAUACAGCAAUUAUUCUUCUCAUUCUUAGUGUGGUUUUUGAGAACAUUUCAAAAGGACAAAAGAUGAAGCCAGAGAGUUAAAUAAUAAAUGUCAGACUAAGGAAACUAAAAAGAGUCAAAAUACAAAGAAAAACAUCACAGGAGUUGAUUGUAAAGGUAUCUGUGGAAGGAUUUAUUACCCCGUGCGCUCAACAUCUGAUCAAACUGUCCCUGAAAACAAACAACAAUAAUGCUAGUUUGCAGAAGUUGCUGGGGUAUCCAUUUCCUUAUUUUAUGACACAACCUGCUCUCUUUAUCUGCCUGAUGAGAUUAUAUACCAGGAGGAGCAGCCUGUGGUGCACAGGAUGGCAUGAUUGAAGGUAGCUGUUAAACUCAGCUCGCUGUUUGAAAGCACCCGUUGUUUGUGUCAUUUAUCAAGCGAGUCUAAGUGUUUACAGCCGUGCUAGCAGCCGUCUGUGAGGCUGUACUUAGGCGCAACGAGACAUUGAGAUGAAUUCAUACAGAGACAUGAUUGGAUGCUAGUUAUAAUGAUGCUAGCCUGGUGUUGAAAAGCAGGUGUGAGUCAUGGAAAUGUCUUUAGGACCCUAUUUCAACUCUCUCAAACGUACGUUCCACAUUGCAUGGUGCAAAGUGAAUGAGGGUCACUUACUUAUCUAAGCUGCUGGUUCACAUGGCAGUAUUUUGUCCUGCAUGCACAAUAAAACCUAAGGUUAUUAUAAUAACAAUAAUAACUUUAUUUGUAUUGCACCUUUUAAAACAGGGGUUGCUUUGACAAACAGGCAUAAACUACAUAUUUACCAGAGUGUGCAUGAUAGAGAGCUUGGUAACGAUCUCAGUCUGGAGUAUUUGGCCCAUGAAGGAUUGAGGUGAAGCUGGUUUAGUGAGGUGAAAGCAAUGAGGGUGGGAUCGACCUCAAUGCACCUUUCAGAAGGGGAAAAUACUAGUGCCUCUGUACAUUACACCUUAUCCAACAGUUUUGGGUUACUUUCAAUCAAGCACAAUUUUAGUUUUUUGCAUGUUGAAGCUCAAGUUAAUUCCCUGUUUAUUUCCUCUUUACUCACGCCCGCUGUUUUCUUUAACUUUCUGUUCAUUGUUUGAGUUGUCUGUUUGGGUUUGCUUCCAUUGUACCUCACGCAGUUUUUGUCAUCUGUUAAUAUUUGUGACUGUAUCUGUUGCUUGUUUAAUGGCCGAUAUUCAGUGCCUGCAUAUGGUAUUUGUACAGUCCUGGUAAAUAUUUAAACAGGAGGACAUAUAUAUCAUUGCCUUUGUUAGGCUACAGACCUGUUUAACAUUGCUUAAAAUCCUGCUGAUGCCGUCUCGGCUUCAUAAAGUCCAGCCUUGAUGCCUUUAUUGACAUUUGCUUCAUACGUGUCCUGCAUGUUUCAUACACUUUACUUCUACAGCAACAUUCCCACUUGCUCCUGUACUGUUGUUAUUUCCACAUGUACUUUUAGCACUGUUUUGUCACAAAGUGUUGCUCGCACUCUAAUUAAAGUGGUGUUUUUUAUUUAGUUUUUUUGUUAUUGCUUUUGUGGAGCUUAUUCUAACAUCUGGCGAGGGACUGCAGAUGGAAACAGUCUUUUGGUAAAAAUAAAAAUAGAUAAAUAGAAGUCCUCUCUUACGUCUUGUUAUCUCCUUUUAGUGUUUCUAUUGUCCUAUUACCAGUUUCUCCCUGUUAAGUUGCUGUUGACUCUUUGUAAACUCCCGAGAAACUUCCUGUUGUUUCUUGGCUGAUCUUUCUCGGUGUAUGCACGAGUUGGUUUACCUGACACAAAAAUCUCAGGUUGUUAUUGUUGCUGCUGGAAAAGUAAAAACAGGUGGUUUUUUUUUUCAGAGUGCUGUGAGCUACCUGGUCUGACACCCACCCCUUCGCAGCAGUUUACAGACAUCAAUACUUACACACAAAAAAAAACUAAAAUUCUGUUUGCUUUUGCAGGUCAUUUAAAGCUCCUAUAAGGAACUUUUGGAACAUGUCAAGUAUGGCGCCCUUUGCUGACAAAAAGUCUCUGCUUCUCUUGACCUUU